Molecule: ribosomal RNA, 920 nt
Filed under: uncultured bacterium
Lineage: Bacteria
Description: bacterial SSU rRNA
Rfam family: Bacterial small subunit ribosomal RNA
Source: RNAcentral
AGAGUUUGAUCCUGGCUCAGGAUGAACGCUAGCUACAGGCUUAACACAUGCAAGUCGAGGGGAAACGAUAUUGGAAGCUUGCUUCCGAUAGGCGUCGACCGGCGCACGGGUGAGUAACGCGUAUCCAACCUGCCCACCACUUGGGGAUAACCUUGCGAAAGUAAGACUAAUACCCAAUGAUAUCUCUAGAAGACAUCUGAAAGGGGUUAAAGAUUUAUCGGUGAUGGAUGGGGAUGCGUCUGAUUAGCUUGUUGGCGGGGUAACGGCCCACCAAGGCGACGAUCAGUAGGGGUUCUGAGAGGAAGGUCCCCCACAUUGGAACUGAGACACGGUCCAAACUCCUACGGGAGGCAGCAGUGAGGAAUAUUGGUCAAUGGGCGAGAGCCUGAACCAGCCAAGUAGCGUGCAGGAUGACGGCCCUAUGGGUUGUAAACUGCUUUUUAUAAAGGGAAUAAAGUGAGUCUCGUGAGACUUUUUGCAUGUACCUUAUGAAUAAAGACCGGCUAAUUCCGUGCCAGCAGCCGCGGUAAUACCGAAAGUCCGGGCGUUAUCCGGAUUUAUUGGGUUUAAAGGGAGCGUAGGCCGGAGAUUAAGCGUGUUGUGAAAUGUAGAUGCUCAACAUCUGCACUGCAGCGCGAACUGGUUUCCUUGAGUACGCACAAAGUGGGCGGAAUUCGUGGUGUAGCGGUGAAAUGCUUAGAUAUCACGAAGAACUCCGAUUGCGAAGGCAGCUCACUGGAGCGCAACUGACGCUGAAGCUCGAAAGUGCGGGUAUCGAACAGGAUUAGAUACCCUGGUAGUCCGCACGGUAAACGAUGGAUGCCCGCUGUUGGUCUGAAUAGGUCAGCGGCCAAGCGAAAGCAUUAAGCAUCCCACCUGGGGAGUACGCCGGCAACGGUGAAACUCAAAGGAAUUGACGG